Molecule: transfer RNA, 72 nt
Filed under: Bacteroidales bacterium
Lineage: Bacteria; Pseudomonadati; Bacteroidota; Bacteroidia; Bacteroidales
Description: tRNA-Arg
Rfam family: tRNA
About the family: Transfer RNA (tRNA) molecules are approximately 80 nucleotides in length. Their secondary structure includes four short double-helical elements and three loops (D, anti-codon, and T loops).
Source: RNAcentral
GGCCCUAUAGUUCAAGGGAUAGAACGGAAGUUUCCUAAACUUUAAAUCUAAGUUCGAGUCUUAGUGGGGCUA